CGCGGCGCACCCACCGGAAGGGACCGGGUCUCAUACGCCCGUGCAUGGGGGUUCGACUCCCCCCGCCGCGUCCA
Molecule: transfer RNA, 74 nt
Filed under: Pseudoclavibacter sp.
Lineage: Bacteria; Bacillati; Actinomycetota; Actinomycetes; Micrococcales; Microbacteriaceae
Description: tRNA-Met
Source: RNAcentral